AGAAUCAACGCUGGCGGCGUGCCUAACACAUGCAAGUCACACGAGAAAGGGUAGCAAUACCUGAGUACAGUGGCGCACGGGUGAGUAACACGUGAAUAAUCUACCUCCGAGUGGGGAAUAAACUGAGAGAAAUCUUAGCUAAUACCGCAUAACACUUACGAGUCAAAGCAGCAAUGCGCUUGGAGAGGAGUUCGCGGCAGAUUAGUUAGUUGGCGGGGUAAUGGCCCACCAAGACGAUGAUCUGUAUCCGGCCUGAGAGGGCGCACGGACACACUGGAACUGAAACACGGUCCAGACUCCUACGGGAGGCAGCAGUGGGGAAUUUUGCGCAAUGGGGGAAACCCUGACGCAGCAACGCCGCGUGGAGGAUGAAAUCCCUUGGGAUGUAAACUCCUUUCGAUCGGGAAGAUAAUGACGGUACCGAGAGAAGAAGCCCGGCUAACUCGCGCCAGCAGCCGC
RNAcentral lists this ribosomal RNA (459 nucleotides) under uncultured bacterium. RNAcentral describes it as "SSU rRNA". It matches the Rfam family "Bacterial small subunit ribosomal RNA", at positions 26 to 518 of the family's 1533-position model. The record is from RNAcentral.